AACGAACGCUGGCGGCAUGCCUAACACAUGCAAGUCGAACGAGACCUUCGGGUCUAGUGGCGCACGGGUGCGUAACGCGUGGGAAUCUGCCCUUGGGUUCGGAAUAACAGUUGGAAACGACUGCUAAUACCGGAUGAUGACGUAAGUCCAAAGAUUUAUCGCCCAGGGAUGAGCCCGCGUAGGAUUAGCUAGUUGGUGGGGUAAAGGCCUACCAAGGCGACGAUCCUUAGCUGGUCUGAGAGGAUGAUCAGCCACACUGGGACUGAGACACGGCCCAGACUCCUACGGGAGGCAGCAGUGGGGAAUAUUGGACAAGGGGCGAAAGCCUGAUCCAGCAAUGCCGCGUGAGUGAUGAAGGCCUUAGGGUUGUAAAGCUCUUUUACCCGGGAUGAUAAUGACAGUACCGGGAGAAUAAGCCCCGGCUAACUCCGUG
Molecule: ribosomal RNA, 433 nt
Filed under: uncultured bacterium
Lineage: Bacteria
Description: partial 16S ribosomal RNA
Rfam family: Bacterial small subunit ribosomal RNA
Source: RNAcentral